RNAcentral lists this long non-coding RNA (385 nucleotides) under Rosa chinensis. RNAcentral's name for it is "sRNA RchiOBHm_Chr5g0060141". The record is from RNAcentral. Lineage: Eukaryota; Viridiplantae; Streptophyta; Magnoliopsida; Rosales; Rosaceae.
CCGCCAACGCGCCGCCACGCGCCGUGUCAAGUUAGCAUCAGAAGCUACUGAAACUGGGAACUGAAGCACAUCAGUCCCACAUCGAAAACAAGGAGAAGAUCAUCCUCUUCCUCACCUAUAAAAGGUCCUCUCCUCUCUCCUCAUUUAUUACGCAUUCAAUACUUGCUUACUGUUACUUUGUCAACAUAAAUACAUCGACUAACUUAGGCAUCGGAGAGCUGAAGACCGCCCAGCGCGGUCUCCCUCUGACGCCCCUUUGUAUUUCACUUGACAGGUAACGGGAACUACAACAACACAAGUAUCGAUCCGCCCAUCGGAUCAGCGUUAGCUAAAGUCCAGCUACCGCUAGACUUUUAGACAUUAACAAUAACCAUCCGGCAAUCGU